AUCUUCCUUUUGUAGGCACAGAACACUGUUCUCUAUCAGCAUACACUUGAUCACUGUCACUACUGCUGACUUGAUUGUGAUCUUGGGCAAGUCCCUUCGCUCACUUUGACAUACUAGAUUCAAGCUUGGACUUACUGGAAAGAGUAAAGUCUAUCUAACUUCCCGGCUUCAAACACCAGACCUGAGGAGAAGUUGUAGAUCUGUACUUAAUAAAGAUGCAAGGUUCAGUCAUUCAAUUUUUGCCAGCUUGCCUUGAAAACAAAGAAUUUCAAAUUGCAAAGGAGUGGGUUCCUUGAAGGGCUUGCUUAUGGAACAAGCUUCACCGUAGAGUCAAGCUUUGACAGAGACUCAGGAAGGGUGAUGGUCAGGGUUGACCUUGAGUGUGACUAUGGUGGUGAUGUAUCCUUGUAUACUUUUAUAAUGUUUUUAUACUGUAAGUCAACAGCAAAUAUUCCAUCUCCCAUAGCAAUGUAAUUAUGCUAUUGCAAAAGUGAUGCAUUUAUAGAGUGGCAAAUGCAUUUCUCUUUCCUUAUCCACUUACCUGACUUGCUAAAGGUUUUUAAUAAUACCCAAAGUAAUGGGAGCUGAAUAAUUCAUGUCUAAAUUAGACAUGCAUUAAUGGUCCCUGUGCAGUUAACUGGAAAACUAGGAUCUGGCUUAGUGUUUGCUUGUACCAAUAAAACACUUUGAAGGCUACUGUGACUGUAACCG
RNAcentral lists this long non-coding RNA (711 nucleotides) under Anas platyrhynchos platyrhynchos (common mallard). RNAcentral's name for it is "lncRNA (ENSAPLG00000022880.1)". Lineage: Eukaryota; Metazoa; Chordata; Aves; Anseriformes; Anatidae. The record is from RNAcentral.